GCGCGGGUGUCGUAAUCGGUAGCCGAGCAGGAUUGAGGUUCCUGUGGCCGCAAGGCCGUGGAGGUUCGAGUCCUCUCCCGCGCACCA
This 87-nucleotide transfer RNA is filed under the name Spirochaetia bacterium. RNAcentral's name for it is "tRNA-Leu". It matches the Rfam family "tRNA". Rfam says of the family: Transfer RNA (tRNA) molecules are approximately 80 nucleotides in length. Their secondary structure includes four short double-helical elements and three loops (D, anti-codon, and T loops). The record is from RNAcentral. Lineage: Bacteria; Pseudomonadati; Spirochaetota; Spirochaetia.